Molecule: ribosomal RNA, 373 nt
Filed under: Ostreopsis sp. ORUS
Lineage: Eukaryota; Dinophyceae; Peridiniales; Ostreopsidaceae
Description: eukaryotic LSU rRNA
Rfam family: Eukaryotic large subunit ribosomal RNA
Source: RNAcentral
UAAUGACAAUUGCUGCACACUUUUGUGCAGUGAAUUGUUUACUUGUGGUACAAUGCUAUCAACGCUGCAUACAAAUGAUUUUUGAAAGGCUACAACAUGGGAUGCGAUGUUCAUGUAUGUGUGCCUGCUUUGUCCACAGCAUGUGCUGAAUGAAUCACAUUUCUUGCAACCUGAAAUGCAAAUAGCAUGGUGAAGUUCAUGUGAUCAUGAAACAUGCUUGCGAUUCAUGAUGUGCAAGUACCAUGAGCGGAAAUGUGAAAAGGACUUUGGAAUGAGAAUUUAAAUCAAGCCUGCAAUUGCUGGUCAUGAAGGGCAAGUGUAGACAUUCAUUGAAGUGUUUACUGCAUCUCUACACCACCUUUAUGGGUUACUG